GGUGGAACAGCAUGUGUGAGACCCCUGAGGCAGGCAGGGGACGGCCGACUGAGUGAGGAGAGGUCCGAGCAGCGUGGGAACGCGGACGUUUGCUGAAGGUGCGGAGGCUCCGUGAGGUCACCGAGGCCAGGUCACAGGAGCCCCUGGACCACGUGCAUCAUGUGGAUUUUGUCUGCGUGGUGGCGGCUGGUGGAGGGACACAAGCGGGUGACAUUCUGGCGAUGUUCCUGGGCUGUGAGGCUGUGGGGGUCGCCCCCUCUCCCCAAGGCCAGGCUGGCGGGGAGGCGGAGGUGAGCCCACGCGGGAGGCCAGCCUCCGAGAAGUGGGGCAGCCAGCCGGCCUGGAGCGCCGAGGUCAGAGAGCCGGGAACGGCGGUGUCCAGAUGCACGGUCGUGGAAGCCGCUCGCGGGGGGUGUCGCGGACUUUCCCGGAACGGGCUCCGUCCUGUCCUUUCCAAAAAAGCGAAAAAACUUACGCGAGCUGGAAACGAAAAGACCUUUCCUCUGGGACAGUGAGGACAGCGCACAGAGGCCCGGGAGGCGCCGGGGCGUGUGUUUGGGGGGCUAGACCAGACCUUUCCGUCCCUCUCUCCCUCCAUCCCCCCCCAUCAUAAAGCCGUUGACAUCAGAGGUCAAGGCCGGAGUGUCCGCUGAGCUCCGGGCCUGCUCGGACUCCGCCCCGAGGCUGCCCUUUCCUGUGGCCGCCUCCUCUCUUGCCCUGGGAGCCGCAGGACUGUCAGCCCCCCGCCCCGUGGACAGGCCUGCUGCUCUUACCAUCAUGAUGCCCACCUGUGUCUGACGGGGGAGGUGCUGCCCGGCCCUGCCUUUCUGGGGCCCGCCAUCACCCACAGACACAGCGAGACCACCAGCUCCUGGCCACAGAGAGGUCACUCGUGCCUUCACCAAAGGAGUGUCCCCGCGGGCACCCCCGGGUGGGCCCUGGGAUCUCAGGUGACAGCCCACAGCUCCUCUGGGCCUUCCUCUGCCCUGGGAGGGGUCUAGGGUGUGCAUCCUGGGGUGGGUCUUGGGGACAGGACGGCCGUGCUGGACAGGACGGCAGGCACCUGGGCGGGUGAUUCUGUGCUCACACACGAUGGUCACUGUGCACGCCUGGCCUUGGUGGCCCCGGGACCGUCACAGCCAUGUCGGAGGCUAACCCAGAAAGCCCUGGUUGGCUUAAACGCGUGGCUGACGCAUCCUGGCAGACUGGAGAUCAAGCCCGCGCUGUGGGAGCCACCGAAGGACUCUAAUGAGAGUGAUAGUCCAAAGUGGCUGCUUAGGGGAGGGUUCGAGGGUGGCCUAGAGUUUCCCGAGUUAAGGUGCCGCAGGACGUUUGAGCCACUCGGGUAGAGUGUCCCGCCAGUCUCCGUACAGCUCGGCCCAGGGUGUUUACGCACUAAGAGGGCUCGGGUGCCACCAAGUGGCCAUCCUGGGGACAUCAACGCCCGUCACCAUGGAGCCACCAGUGUCUUUUCCUUCUGUGGGAGCAAAUCUCUGCAUUUGAGUUCAAUCUUUGCGAUUUCAAAGUGAGGAAGCCCACGAGAUGUCUUGCUUAGCAGUGAGCUGACACUUUCCCCUUGGGUUUGAAACUACUCAUUCUGUGCGCGCGUCAGCUCCAGUCCUGCCGAUGCUUCUGGUAAGUCACUGAUUUCCUUCUUGCAUUAGGGUAACAGAGAGGGUGAGGCAUCCCUGUGCAGCGACACCAGAUCGUGAAACCCUGGAGGCCGAUCCGUCAUCGGUGUGACUGGUGACUCCACCCUUGAGGUCCCGGAGCCACAUGCCCCCUGAGGCCCCGGAAGACACAGCCCUGAGCUGCUCCCGAGCCUGGCGCUUAAGGCGGGAAACAGACUUCAAUUUUUUAAAAGAUAGGGACGGGCCACGGAAAGGACCACAACAGGGCUGUCUAUGGGAGUGUGGGUCGUGGGGACUGGUGUUCUGUGAUGUGGAAAACCUUAAAUUUCCUCACUGCGUCCAGCCCCUGGACAAGUCCCUGGGACAGGCAGAGUCACCGCCCUCUGGGAGCCCAGCUGCCUCGAUGAUGACACUUCGCUAAGGGCAAAAGGCGAUCUUAGCUUAACCUCAUCCCAACCUCCGGGAUCCUGUGAGUGUCCUUUAUCGUGUAAAGGACAGGAAGGAAACUUCCUUCACCUCUACCCCCCAAGAUACAAGGUAGCAAAUCAGACUCCAAGCGUAAAGUCCCCUGAUACGCAUCUGAAAGGUCUCAUGACUGAGGGUUUGCUAAACGGUAAUACGUGACCUUUUCCCAACAAUAGUGAGCCCUCUCGGGGCCCUGGAAACCUUGCUCCCAAAUCCCUUGGAGGCCUGUGCUGUUCCCAGCCCCUCCCGACUUGGCGGUGGGUAAGCAGUGGCUUCUCCCAGCUCUUCCUGCCCACGGACCUGCCCCCGUGCUUUAAUAAAGCACCAAAGAUGUCUCAAGAAUUCUUUCAUGAGACUUUUUGUCGCACAGGGUUUCGCGACUGUUUGCUCUGAACCCCAAUAUCUCCACAUCCAUCUGGAGUGGAACAGGUGUCCUUUGUCACAGCUCCCCACCCAAGCCCCGACCAGGCAGCUCAGCUGAAGGGUUUCUAAGGGAGCAGCUGACAAUUAGGCGGAAAGUGGGCAGUAGCAGAAUCUCCAAGGUGCCCCCCUGGCUAGUCGAGCAGAGCCGGGCUGUGAUUUGGAGGGGAAAAAAGGCUCCUUCCUAGGAGGAACCCGUGGAGAAUGAGACAAGCAGAGGCCACCGUGUGCUGGGAGCCUUGCCUGGGCUUGUACGCAAAUUAGGAAGGGUUUAGCAUGGUUUUAGGGAUGCCCCACUCUGGAUUUUAAAACCUGGAGUUUAAAAAAAUCUCCAGACAGCAAGGUCAGUUGGGUGUAUUUGUGCGAAUCUAUUUCUGGGUCCUUUGCUCUGUUCUACUGAUCUGUGUGUCUGUGCCUCUGCAAAUACCACAGUCUUGAUUGUUUGAGUUGUAUCAUAAGAUUUAAAAUUUGACAGACUGUUGCCAUUUUAUUAUUUUUUCUUAGUUACUUUAGAUACUCUAGUACUUUGCCUUCCCAUAUGUAUCUUAGAAUAAUCUUAACUAUGUCUACAAAACACCCUCCUAGGAUUUUGAUAGGAAUGGUACUAAAAAACGUAUAUCAACUUGAGGAGAAUUGACAUCUCUGCUAUGUUGAGCCUUUCAACUCAUAAACACAAGCUUCCUGCGCUCUGAUGAGUAAGAGAGUUGGGAGCAGGUGUCCUUGCCACGUUCCUGAGUAUUCACCAUCCAUUCAUCACUGAUGAGAGUCUUCAUCAUUGCCCGAGAGAAAGCACGAGCAGGUGAGGGGCAGAGAGAGAGGGAGACCCAGAAUCGGAAGCAGCUCCAGGCUCCGAGCUGUCAGCACAGAACCCGACGCGGGGCUCGAACUCACGAACCGAGAGAUCAUGACCUAAGCUGAAGUCGGACGCUCAACCGACUGAGCCCCCCAGGCGUCCCGAAAUAUAUUUUAAAAAAUCAAUUAAAAGUGCUUAUAUGCACAUGUCACCCUUAAUCUCUUAGCCAGUGAGUUUUUGAUAUUUCCUAAUAUGGAAAUGUCCUUCACUGUCUGGGUUAAAUCACGAUGUAUUGAAUUCAUUGUUGGAUUCAGCCUGCUAAUAAAUUAUUCACACAUUUGUCUUUGUUGCAAAAGGGAUGGUUGUCCUCUCCUUUCUUCUCUUGUGCCCUCAUCCCCCAGCUCUGUUAUAGGAGAAUCCAGCAAUUUCCCACCCAUCUAUGUCUACACCCUGGAACCACUGCAUGAUCCAGGAACCAUCUGAUGGCAGUGUGCUGGUUCAGAAGAUCUGGAACUGUUUCUUAUUUUCUAUGGUUAUUGUUCUUUUAAAGCUUUCUUGGUAAAAAUUAAACAUAGAGAUGUCACGCAACCCAGAAAUUCCACUUGUGGGUACUCACCUGAAGAAAAUGAAAACACUCAUUCCAAAAGAUACACGUACCCCACGAUCACGGCAGCACCAUUUACGAUGGCCAAGAUACGGCAGCCGCCCAAAUGUCCUCCAUAGACGAACGGAUAAAGAAGAUGGGUGUGUAUGCAACGGAAUUAUUCCCUGGCCACAAAAAGAGUGAAAUCUUGCCACUCGUGACAACGUGGAUGGACCUAGAGUGUACUAUGAUAACUGAAAGACAGAGAAAGACAAGGACCAUCUGAUUUCACUCAUAUGUGGAAUCUAAAAAACAAAACAAAUGAAGAAACAAACCGCGAAGCAAAACACGAAGUCAUAAAUACAGAGAACAAACUGGUGGGCCCCAGAGAGGGGGAGGCGGGAGGGAGUUGGGCAGAAGAGGGGAAGGGGGUUGAGCUGUGCCAACUUCCGGUUAUAAAAUAAAUAAGUCACGGGCUGGGAAGUACAGGUAAUACAGCCCAUAAUCCUGUAAUAACCCCGUGCCGUGACAGGUGGUGGUGAGCAUUCUGUAGGGUACAGCUGCUGGAUCACGACAGUGUACCCCUGAACCUAAUAGCAUUAUGUCAACUGUUCCUCAACUAAACAUUUUUUACAAAGUUUGUUCCAGUUUUCCUUUUAGCCAAUAUUGGUAAUCGAUCUUUUUCUAGAAAUGUUCCGUUCCAUCUAUAUUUUAAAAACUUAAGGGGCGCCUGGGUGGCUCAGUCGGUUAAGCGUCCCGACUUCGGCUCAGUUCGUGAUCUCGCGGUCCGUGGGUUCGAGCCCCGCGUCGGGCUCUGUGCUGACAGCUCGGAGCCUGGAGCCUGCUUCGGAUUCUGUGUCGCCCUCUCUCUGACCCUCCCCUGUUCACACUGUGUCUCUCUCUGUCUCAAAAAUAAAUAAACAUUAAAAAAUAAUAGUAAUAAAUAAAUAAAUGAAAACUUAAUAUCAUACAUAAAUUGUCAUGUAUAUAUAACAUUUAUAUAUAACUGGGCAUAUAUAUAAACAUGUGUAUAUAUUGUUAUAUGUAAACUUUGUUAUUUGAAAAUCCCUGUUUCUGUGGCUCUGUACGUUAAAGUCAGUGGAAAACAAGUUUCUUUCCACCUCUGCUGCCUUCGCCCAGACCACGACCCCGGGGGAAAUCUCUGUCGUAUCAUCCAGAACAGAGCCACACACUCACAGGCACGUGACGCUUGAAGCCCCAGGACUUCCCGGUGGUAGCGAUCGUCCUCAAGUUCCUGAAAGACGACCUGGAGGGUCACGGGCCGCACUUUUCAAAGAGAAUGCAAUUGGAUCGGAAAGUAACUUACUGAUGGUUUUCUGUCAAUAUUGACUAGGU
This is a long non-coding RNA of Panthera uncia (snow leopard), 5248 nucleotides long. RefSeq lists it as uncharacterized. Lineage: Eukaryota; Metazoa; Chordata; Mammalia; Carnivora; Felidae. The transcript is spliced from 3 exons. The record is from RefSeq and is a predicted model, not a curated record.